CCCAGUGUUCAGACUACCCGUUC
Molecule: microRNA, 23 nt
Filed under: Gallus gallus (chicken)
Lineage: Eukaryota; Metazoa; Chordata; Aves; Galliformes; Phasianidae
Description: microRNA Ros-gga
Source: RNAcentral